This 207-nucleotide ribosomal RNA is filed under the name uncultured bacterium. Its description in RNAcentral is "partial 16S ribosomal RNA". It matches the Rfam family "Bacterial small subunit ribosomal RNA", at positions 568 to 774 of the family's 1533-position model. The record is from RNAcentral.
CGCGUAGGCGGUCUGCUAAGUCCGAUGUUAAAGACCGGGGCUCAACCCCGGCACGGCGUUGGAUACUGGCAGGCUGGACGGCUGGAGAGGCGAGUGGAAUUACCAGUGUAGCGGUGGAAUGCGUAGAUACUGGUAGGAACACCCAUGGCGAAGGCAGCUCGCUGGACAGCACGUGACGCUGAGGCGCGAAAGUGUGGGGAGCAAACC